GAUGAACGCUGGCGGCGUGCCUAAUACAUGCAAGUCGAGCGAACGGACGAGAAGCUUGCUUCUCUGAUGUUAGCGGCGGACGGGUGAGUAACACGUGGAUAACCUACCUAUAAGACUGGGAUAACUUCGGGAAACCGUAGCUAAUACCGGAUAAUAUUUUGAACCGCAUGGUUCAAAAGUGAAAGACGGUCUUUCUGUCACUUAUAGAUGGAUCCGCUCUGCAUUAGCUAGUUGGUAAGGUAACGGCUUACCAAGGCAACGAUGCAUAGCCGACCUGAGAGGGUGAUCGGCCACACUGGAACUGAGACACGGUCCAGACUCCUACGGGAGGCAGCAGUAGGGAAUCUUCCGCAAUGGGCGAAAGCCUGACGGAGCAACGCCGCGUGAGUGAUGAAGGUCUUCGGAUCGUAAAACUCUGUUAUUAGGGAAGAACAUAUGUGUAAGUAACUGUGCACAUCUUGACGGUACCUAAUCAGAAAGCCACGGCUAACUAAGUG
RNAcentral lists this ribosomal RNA (497 nucleotides) under uncultured bacterium. Its description in RNAcentral is "partial 16S ribosomal RNA". It matches the Rfam family "Bacterial small subunit ribosomal RNA", at positions 28 to 507 of the family's 1533-position model. The record is from RNAcentral.